This is a long non-coding RNA of Dermacentor albipictus, 439 nucleotides long. RefSeq lists it as uncharacterized. The record is from RefSeq and is a predicted model, not a curated record. Lineage: Eukaryota; Metazoa; Arthropoda; Arachnida; Ixodida; Ixodidae.
AUGUCGAUCAGUGCAUCCUUUAUCUAAGACGUCCUCCGCGAAUACGGGCUGUUACCAGAAAAGCAACGACGAAGAACUUGCACGCUUACGCCGCACUGGAAGAAUGAAGGCUGCUCUUUGCGUGAUAGGCCUGCUCGCAGCAGUUCACCUACCUGGGCUGGCACUAAGUUCCAGAGAGCUUUCUAAAGUUGACGACGUCGUAUCCGCAGAGCAGGGCAUGGAUUCAGAGAAAAGCGAAAUGCGAUUGCGAACAACUACGCAGCCAUCAUGGCUGCCACGGUUCCGUGGAAUACCCAGCCCCGAAGAAAUAGCGAAAACCUACCGACGGAUGAAAGAAGCACUGAGUGACGCCUACGAAUCAUUUCGCCAGCGGAUUGGAGCCAUAUUUCAGUAAAGCAAUUUUACACUCUUGCGGCCAAUAAACGCAUUUUCAAACAUA